RNAcentral lists this ribosomal RNA (301 nucleotides) under uncultured bacterium. RNAcentral's name for it is "partial 16S ribosomal RNA". It matches the Rfam family "Bacterial small subunit ribosomal RNA", at positions 509 to 807 of the family's 1533-position model. The record is from RNAcentral.
CAGCAGCCGCGGGAAAACGGAGGGUGCAAGCGUUAAUCGGAAUUACUGGGCGUAAAGCGCACGCAGGCGGUCUGACAAGUCAGAUGUGAAAUCCCCGGGCUUAACCUGGGAACUGCAUUUGAAACUGUCAGGCUGGAGUCUUGUAGAGGGGGGUGGAAUUCCAGGUGUAGCGGUGAAAUGCGUAGAGAUCUGGAGGAAUACCGGUGGCGAAGGCGGCCCCCUGGACAAAGACUGACGCUCAGGUGCGAAAGCGUGGGGAGCAAACAGGAUUAGAUACCCCUGUAGUCCCUGUCUCUUAUAC